GUAGGGAAUAUUGGGCAAUGGAAGGAAUUCUGACCCAGCCAUGCCGCGUGCAGGAAUACAGUCCUAUGGACUUUAAACUGCUUUUAUUAUAGAGUAACCUGGGGGACGUGUCCCCCACUGCAAGUAUAUAAUGAAUAAGCAUCGGCUAACUCCGUGCCAGCAGCCGCGGUAAUACGGGGGAUGCAAGCGUUAUCCGGAUUUAUUGGGGUUAAAGGGUGCGCAGGCUGAUCGGUAAGUCAUGGGUGAAAAGUCACUGCUUAACAGUGAUCGUGCCUAUGAUACUGCCGGACUAGAGUUUAAGAGGUGUAACUGGAAUGUGAUGUGUAGCGGUGAAAUGCUUAGAUAUGUCACAGAACGCCAAUCGUGAAGACAGGUUACAAACUUAAUACUGACGCUCAUGCACGAAAGCGUGGGGAUCAAACAGGAUUAGAUACCCGAGUAGUCC
RNAcentral lists this ribosomal RNA (445 nucleotides) under uncultured bacterium. RNAcentral's name for it is "partial 16S ribosomal RNA". It matches the Rfam family "Bacterial small subunit ribosomal RNA", at positions 354 to 796 of the family's 1533-position model. The record is from RNAcentral.